AUUUUUUUAUUAAAAAGAAAUAAUAAAAAAAACAAAAUCUUCUUCCGCAAAUAAUUAAUUAAUAAUUAAAAUCAUUUAGUCUUAUGGCAAAAAGUAUCUGAAACGUCAUAUGACAGUAGAUUCGAUUCUAUAAUAGAAUUGUAAAAAUGUUUUCGGCUCCACAUCCAAGCGCAGGUAUUUCGUGCUACAUUUAAAGUUCCACCGUCGAGUAAGUGAUAAGCUUCUACGAAGAAGGUCACAGAUUGUAAAACAACAAAAAUGCAUCUUGCAUUUCGAGAUAUAUAAUAAUAAUAAUAAUCGUUGGCGCAACAAUCCAUAUUGCCCCCUUAAUUACCAAAAACAAUCUUUUUACCUGCAAAUUCUCUGCUACAUAAUUCAACACUUUAGAUAGAUAUUUUAUUCAGUCUUAAAGUCUUUAAAAAAAGCUAACGUCAUUCAUGGUAGCACGACCUCAUUUUCCACUGGUUUAAAAAAAUCAAUCUUUUACCCGAAGACUGACGUUGUAUAUGUGAUACGUUCGCUGGCAGAUCUAUCUGCCUCUUUUCCUCCAUUUUUAUCUCCACUUGACAAUUUAGCCGGUCUUUCUUUGCAUCUAAAUACACAGCUUAGUAUGUAUGUAUACGCGAUUCUGUUCGACUGUUUAGUUGUAUGAAGCGCUGAGUUUUCGCUUUCGAUAACCUGAUGUAUCUGAGAACUUUUGUUGCCGCCGUAAUAGCUUUGCAUGGCUUUAUGAUGUGCUAUGAAGUAUGUAGUUUGGUACUUUUCUAGUAUUUCUAGUUAUCGCAUUAAUAACAGUGCCGACCAUUUAUUAUUUAUAGAUGCACGAAGGGGCGAGGGAAUCAUGGUAAAAUGCUCUCACUCAAAUUUUUCCACAUUUCCAGUUGAAUGUACAAACUUCAAAUUUUAACUGACGAUCGCCGGUAACUGUCCAAAUAAUCAAACUAAAGUGAUAAAUGAAUCGGAUUACGAAUGUUGGAAGCUUCAUGCACAAAGGCGAUUGCGAUUUAACUGCGAGGUGUGAGAGUAAGGUCACUGUGGAUGCAAAACUGUAAUAGACCCCCCCUUCCUUUUAUAUGACGAGUUUGUUCUGUGUUGGGCAUCGCCCUCUUGCAUUACUAACUGAAUUUGCCACGAGCGUUGAGCAUUAUUUAACAAGCAUACAGAAGUUUCAAAUUAAAUUAGACAUAAAAUUUUAUAGCAAAGUAGUUAUUUUAUUUAAUCUAAUGUAUUCUUUUGUAAAUGAAUAAUAAUAUAUUGAAAAUAAAAGUGCUUCCAAAUGGUU
Hermetia illucens (black soldier fly) is the source of this 1282-nucleotide long non-coding RNA. RefSeq lists it as uncharacterized. NCBI's taxonomy places the organism in Eukaryota, Metazoa, Arthropoda, Insecta, Diptera, Stratiomyidae. The record is from RefSeq and is a predicted model, not a curated record. The transcript is spliced from 2 exons.